UACAGAGGGUGCGAGCGUUAAUCGGAAUUACUGGGCGUAAAGCGUGCGCAGGCGGUUCGUUGUGUCGGUGGUGAAAGCCCCGGGCUUAACCUGGGAAUGGCCAUGGAAACUGGCGAACUGGAGUGUGGCAGAGGGGGGUGGAAUUCCGCGUGUAGCAGUGAAAUGCGUAGAGAUACGGAGGAACACCGAUGGCGAAGGCAGCCCCCUGGGCUAGCACUGACGCUCAGGCACGAAAGCGUGGGGAGCAAACAGG
Molecule: ribosomal RNA, 253 nt
Filed under: uncultured bacterium
Lineage: Bacteria
Description: partial 16S ribosomal RNA
Rfam family: Bacterial small subunit ribosomal RNA
Source: RNAcentral